This is a long non-coding RNA of Zingiber officinale, 2996 nucleotides long. RefSeq lists it as uncharacterized. The transcript has 3 exons. The record is from RefSeq and is a predicted model, not a curated record. NCBI's taxonomy places the organism in Eukaryota, Viridiplantae, Streptophyta, Magnoliopsida, Zingiberales, Zingiberaceae.
CUCCGCUAAAAACCUUCCGCGACCUAACCUCCUCCGCCAAAAGCCUCCCUUUGCGAAAACAUACCAAAACUUCUUCCGCCGAAACCCUCCUUCGCGUCGCCCGCGCCUAGCCUCCGCUCAUUCUACUCACUCACUGCCUCCUCCGCUCAUUCUACCCACUCACUGCCUCCUACUCGCUGUCGUACCCACUCGCUCCGCCAUCGUUAGUUGCGGCCAAGAAGAAGGAAUCUGGAGAAGACCCAAUGGAACAGAGAAGUCGGUGUUGCCUCCCCUCUCGCCUCGAGUGAUCCUCCCACAGCCAGCGGAGAAACCGACGUUAGUCUCCAAGGAUUAUGCUACAUGCUGGAGAAGUGCUAUCCAUGACCUUCCCGCUGUGGGUGGGGAAAACGUGUUGUGUUGCCCUUUCAUUCCUCUGGGUGGACAAGAACUUGGAAAUAUUUGGCCCUACCCUCACUCUGCUCGGUCUCUUCAUCUCUCUUGGCAUUCGUCCGAUUACUAACGAUUAGGAUCCUAAAAGAAAGGUACACAAGCCUGUUAAAGGUGUAUUGAAAAUGGAGGUUGAAAAGCUUCAUACUUCACUUGUUGAUGUGGACAAUAUCUCUGACGGUGGAAGCAUAAUCAUUGACUCAAAUGAUGAUGGUGAUCGUUUUACUGAAACUUCUCUAGGAAAGCAUCAUAGCAAUGGUCCUGAUAUCCCCAGGAGUGGUAGUUUGAAGUUCAUCAACAUUAAUCGAAAAGAUAUUUAUAGGAAUGUGUCAAUUCCAGUCAGAGAAGAUCAUCCUGAUUUUAGUGACCAUGUAAGUAGUAUUUUGUCUGCUAUUUAUCAACAUUCAAUCUGUAAUCUUGCUUUAACACAUCCUGAAGUUCAGCAGAUUUGUCUAUUCACUUUACUUAAAAGCAUAAUGUUUCUAAAUUAUAGGUGCUACUUUGCUAGUAUUGUUGUCAUAUUUUCUUUAUAAAACAUUACUCUUCCUGAUUCUUAAAGCUAGCUUCUCUGUGCCAUCUCUUGGAUUUUAUUUGCGGGCACUUGUGAACAUUCUCUAUUGGCGAUUCUGGUGGCUCUCUUAGGUAAAAAACACACUAUAAGGUUAUUCUUUCAUGGAUAUGUAGUAAUUUAUAGGAAGUGUAUCUUAGUCAUUUCAAGUUGUAAGCUUAUUAUAGUUGUUUUGCAUAUUUGUUUGUUUGUUAUUUUUUUUUUCUGUCACAUGUUAUUUUGGAAAAUUAAAUUAAAGUAUCUACUAUUUCUACUUGCAUGCUAUUGUUUAGCAGAACAAUAUAUCAUUAAUUUCUUUUAAAAUAUCCUCUUGUAUCCUUGCUAGGCAAAUUGUGGAAACCUAUAUCUGCUUAGUUACCUCUCACUUAUCAGAACUUCAUGUACAAAGAAAACUUAUCAGAACUUCAUGUACAAAGAAAGUUUGUUGAUUAGGGCACAUAGACAAUUAAUUAGCCCAUUUUGUUUUAGGCUACAAAUUUUUUGAUCUUUAUAGCUCAUGAUUUUACAGUUUCAAGCUUUUGAUUUUUGGAGGAUGACUAGAAGCGAGCCAUUCUGACAACUUUUCCAUUGUCUUUAUGUUUAUCCUUUAACUGUUAGCUUGGGUCGUAAAAGAAAUUUGUUCAUAAGGAUAUAAAUGUGAAAGGAUGAUGCUGACAUCCAAAAGCAGCCAUUAGAGGUUUGUGUUAAUGAGAAGUGGUUAGGUUGUUGUUUAUCACUUUCACUUUAGAAUUCUUCAAUCUGUUGAGUUUCUGGUUGUUUGGUUGCUCAAGCUGAGUUUCCAAAGGAACAAGGUCAAACUCUUGAAAAGUAUACUCAUACACAAAUUGCAGUUGGAGCUAGAAUGGCUUGCUACCAUGAUGAAGUUAAACUUUGCCUCCUUGCUAUUUUGACACCCCAACACCAUCUCUUGUUUACUUUUUUUUCGUGUCAAACUUCUGAUGAAACUUGAAGCUUCCAAGCCUGUGAUUAUUGAUUAUGCUGCACUUCCUUUGACUUCCCACAUUCAGUAAGUGCUGCAUAUCUAAAUAUGAUGUCUUUUAUAUAUUUCUGAUCUUAACUUUGCUUUAAGCUAAAUUAAUCCUAUUCAUUUAUUUAGUUUCUUUUGAAAUUGACAUACAAUAUAUUUUUCCUAUUACCUCAACAUUCUUUUUUCUUUUAGAUUUCUCUUGAGCUUUCUCUUUUUAUGGUUUCCUAGAAGGAAGGCUUUGAACUUUAUUAGUCUAUUGUUAAGACACAUUUUCCCUAUUGUAUCACUGAUGUUUGUGUCAAGUCAUUAAAAUAUACUGAAAGGUAUAUCUAUAACAAGAAUUUGAUUAUAGAUCUCGGUAUAAAUAUUCUCCUUGCUAUACAAUCAUUUUAAAAGCCUAUUUCCGUUUUUUACAUUUACAAAAUUUUAGUUAUUUAUUCUAUGAUGUUUUAUAGAUGUCACAUAGGAUGGACUGUUAUCCUUUACCUUUGUCAUUAUCAAGUAUUCUAGUUAUGAGGGAGUUAUACUUCAAGUUUAUGAAAGCCCACAGUGAAAACCAUAUACAAUAUAGUGAAUGUGCAUUUUCAUGUUUAACUUAUGUUUUCUUUCCCAUUUUCACAUCCCUUUGUGGCUUCACAGGUUGUGCUUGCUCCUGUGCUAGUCGGUGCAAUUCUGAACCAAUAUUGCAAUAAUCUUAUUUGUUGUAACUAAUAGCUAUUACAUCUGUAGCAGUACUUUGUGGCAGAGCAAUUGCUCAAAAUGCCUCGGCAAUCCAUUGACAGCGGUCCCUUGUGCCGUGUGUAGUGUUUACCAAGCGGUCUAUGGCAGUAUCUUGGCUGGGAUAUGGCGACGCAUGACCCCCAAAACCAAAGAGAAGGAUUGCUACAUUUUAUUGCCAUCAGUCUCCAAGUCAGAUUGGUGAUAGUCCUUUCAUCUAUAUUUCCGCCGUUCCAAUAUUAUAUUUGUAUUUGACUUUAAAUAUAGUAAAUUUUGAGUGCCUGAGGCCAUGGCAUGAUUUCUUCCUCUACUGACGUA